RNAcentral lists this long non-coding RNA (594 nucleotides) under Musa acuminata (dwarf banana). RNAcentral describes it as "long non-coding RNA (MACU_LNC010236)". The record is from RNAcentral. Lineage: Eukaryota; Viridiplantae; Streptophyta; Magnoliopsida; Zingiberales; Musaceae.
GACUCUUAUCUUAUGGCAAAUCCACCAUUGAAGGUAUCUAACGGCUCUUCACUUGUUUGCGCUGUUCGAACUCACUACUAAAGCCAUUGGGCUUCUGGAACUCUAUCACUAACACAAGCAUUCUUCUGGAACUCUACCUUAGGAAAGGAACUACUUGCUCCUGCUGAAGAGACUUCCACUGCUGAAGAUAUAGUCUACUUUCCCUCUUAUGAUACUGAUCCAGCUCAAAACUCAUUAUGAAAUAAAGAGGAGCAUUCGGCUGAGGCUUCUAAAAUGGAUGACACUGAUUUACUUAGCACUGAAGAGGAACCUCCAUCUCGCGAAGACUUGAAAAACGAAUUGUAGUACUUGCAGCUUACCCCUGAACCGCUGAGUGGGUAUUCGAUUGGGCUUCUUUAUCUGCAAUAUAAAUGAAGUAAAGACCCCGUCCCGUCUUCUAAAUCUGACCGGCUUUUGGAAUUUGCCUAGUAGCUUGUUCUGAACUGCCUGCAACAUGGAAUCUCUCUCUUUCGACGCCAACAAAAGCACGAACACUUUGACCUCUAUCUCCACACGUAAAAGCCUGUACUCUCUUAUGCUCCAGCUUAUUUACAA